RNAcentral lists this long non-coding RNA (719 nucleotides) under Mus musculus (house mouse). RNAcentral's name for it is "long non-coding RNA chrX:81095174-81095893". Lineage: Eukaryota; Metazoa; Chordata; Mammalia; Rodentia; Muridae. The record is from RNAcentral.
UUGCUUUGGAAUUUGAAACUGCCAUUUGGGCAUCUAAUGAGAAUCAUAGAUAUAGCCAUUUAAUUCUACCUUUAAGGCUGUUCUUUUUAAUAGCAAAUUAUACUUUACCAAUUAUCAUCUCUUGGGAAGGAAGUCAACGUUUGGAGACAUGUGUUUUUCAUUAUGUAGUUAUAAAAUUGAGGGUGUCUGCUUUCCCCUGGGGCAAUCAGAAAGAAAUGUGCAUGAGUUGCUUUUGUACCCUUAAAAUCCUUUAAAAAUUUUGCAGCAAACAAUUGUCCAUAUGUAACAAGCUUAUUCUUCUACACCACAAGCCAUUACCAUACUGGUAAUAAGUUGCUCAUUAAUAGUCCACAUACAUGUACCUAUCAUUCAUAUAAUCAAUACUUGCUCUAGUGAAGCAAUUUGAACACUAACCUUGUAUGCAUCAACAGACUCAGUAUUCACAGUUACUUACCAUACAAAAGUUCAUAUACCUUAAAGCUUUUGCUCUGUGUUCUCUACUGAUUCAUUGGAAAGUAUUAAUAGAAUUGCCUAAGAAGUAAAAUUGAAAUGUUGUUAAUCUGAAAUUUAAUGAUUCUUUUAUAAGUAUUGUAGUUCAAAAGAGAGUAGGAAUUAGAAUGAUCACUUUGUGUAAAAUUCAUUAAAAUACAAGGCUGCUAUUUUUGCAAGUAUUUUAAAUGUCUUCAUUUUAAAAUAAAGGAAUAGUGAUAGAUUUCUAU